RNAcentral lists this long non-coding RNA (600 nucleotides) under Sus scrofa (pig). RNAcentral's name for it is "lncRNA (ENSSSCG00025068021.1)". The stretch from base 134 to 212 matches the Rfam family "mir-192/215 microRNA precursor family". Lineage: Eukaryota; Metazoa; Chordata; Mammalia; Artiodactyla; Suidae. The record is from RNAcentral.
GUGGGGGCCAGUGCCCUCGGAGGAGGAGAGGUGGCUGUUGUCCAGCAGACCAGCAGGGAUCCCCACAGCCACGAUCCCAGGCCCAGGAUGGUGCAGGGUGGUGGGCUGUCGGCAGGCUGCCAAGACCGAGUGCACAGGGCUCUGACCUAUGAAUUGACAGCCAGUGCUCUCAUCUCCCCUCUGGCUGCCAAUUCCAUAGGUCACAGGUAUGUUCGCCUCAAUGCCAGCCUCCAGGACCUGCGGGGGUUGGGGGGGGGAGCAGGACAGGAGUGUCAAGAGGGCAACGAAGACUCGCCGUCUCAGUGCAGCGAUCAAGGCCCAGCCCCCUUCUCCCAUUUCCACUUUUCCAUCUCCUUUCUCCUGAGCGCGAACUGCUUUCGGUCCCCACCGAUACUGACUGUGCUUUGUCCAGGCUGUUCCCUCUGCCUGGAACACCCUUCCCUGCUUUUUUGCCAGGCUCACUUUUUUUUUUUCCUUUUUAGGGCCACAGAACAUGAAGGUUCCCAGUCUAGGGGUCAAAUCCAGGCUCGGCUACAGCUCCGAUUCGACCCCUAGCCUGGGAACCUCCGUAUGCCGCGGGAAGCGGCCCUAGAAAAAAGC